GGUGGUGGUGCUGCUGGUGCU
Molecule: unclassified non-coding RNA, 21 nt
Filed under: Chlamydomonas reinhardtii
Lineage: Eukaryota; Viridiplantae; Chlorophyta; Chlorophyceae; Chlamydomonadales; Chlamydomonadaceae
Description: small RNA Cre_1990
Source: RNAcentral